This 320-nucleotide long non-coding RNA is filed under the name Mytilus galloprovincialis (Mediterranean mussel). The record is from RNAcentral. Lineage: Eukaryota; Metazoa; Mollusca; Bivalvia; Mytilida; Mytilidae.
UAUCAUACAACUUUUACGUUUUGUUUACAUAUGAAGAAAAAAAUAUGGCUCAGGAAAAUAAUCAAGCACAAAUAUUAUCAUUCCAACUCAUGGGUUAAGCAUUCAGAAACAGAAAUGUAAAAAAGCCAUGACAUACAUAUUUACUUCCUAUCCGAAAUUAAAGGUUAAACUCUUCCCGGAAACGAUCGAUAUAACAUAAAUGGCAAUAGAGUGGUACAAUAUGCUUUUCAAUUAAAUUCAAUUGAACAUUUAAGUAUGAACAAUUCAAAUUUUAUUUCCGGUAGACAAUAAUAUUGACCCCAAUGUAUACCAAACAGACA